Molecule: long non-coding RNA, 247 nt
Filed under: Ananas comosus (pineapple)
Lineage: Eukaryota; Viridiplantae; Streptophyta; Magnoliopsida; Poales; Bromeliaceae
Description: long non-coding RNA (ACOM_LNC032675)
Source: RNAcentral
AUUAACUACAUGCAUCAUCCACAUGCAUCACUUAGCAUUUAUAUGCAUCAACAUGGAUUCACAAUUCUCUCAGACAUAACGGCGACCUAGUCGCUUCGGUAAGCACAACCCAUCUUAACUCACUCUCCGAUUGCUCGUAGUCACUUGCAAUCGGCCGCCCGCGGCACCAGCUAUCUGACUCGGCCCGAACUCGCAAUUGCGCACCAACCGUGCGCCGCUUCGCAGCCCCGAAAAUUAUAGGUCCUCG